This 492-nucleotide ribosomal RNA is filed under the name uncultured bacterium. RNAcentral describes it as "partial 16S ribosomal RNA". It matches the Rfam family "Bacterial small subunit ribosomal RNA", at positions 29 to 507 of the family's 1533-position model. The record is from RNAcentral.
AGUGAACGCUGGCGGUAGGCCUAACACAUGCAAGUCGAACGACAGCACGAUAAGAUUUUGCCCUUAAGGGUGGCGGCGGGCGGACGGGUGAGGCAUACAUAGCCUUCUAAUUUUUCGUGGGGGACAACGUAGGACAACUUACGAUACUACAGCAUACGACCUACGGGUUAGUUCAGGAGAUCAUCGCAGCUUUGGCGAUUGUAUGAGCCGGUGUCGGAUUAGCUAGUUGGCGAGGUAAAGGCACACCAAGGCAACGAUGCGUAGCUGGUCUGAGAGGAUGAUCAGCCACACUGGAACUGAGACACGGUCCAGACUCCUACGGGAGGCAGCAGUGGGGAAUAUUGGACAAUGGGCGCAAGCCUGAUCGAGCCAUGCCGCGUGAGUGAAGAAGGCCUUCGGAUUGUAAAGCUCUGUUAUUAGGAAAGAAAAGCAGCAGGCUAAUACCCCGCUGUUCUGACGGUACCCAAAGAAUAAGCACCGGCUAACUUCGUG